AUUGAACGCUGGCGGCAUGCUUUACACAUGCAAGUCGAACGGUAACAGCACUUCGGUGGCUGACGAGUGGCGAACGGGUGAGUAAUACAUCGGAACGGGCCUAGUAGUGGUGGAUAACUACUCGAAAGAGUAGCUAAUACCGCAUGAGAUCUAAGGAUGAAAGCAGGGGACCUUCGGGCCUUGCGCUACUAGAGCGGCUGAUGGCAGAUUAGGUAGUUGGUGGGAUAAAAGCUUACCAAGCCGACGAUCUGUAGCUGGUCUGAGAGGACGACCAGCCACACUGGAACUGAGACACGGCCCAGACUCCUACGGGAGGCAGCAGUGGGGAAUUUUGGACAAUGGGCGCAAGCCUGAUCCAGCAAUGCCGCGUGCAGGAUGAAGGCCUUCGGGUUGUAAACUGCUUUUGUACGGAAAGAAAAGCCCUCUUCGAAUACAGGAGGGUCAUGACGGUACCGUAAGAAUAAGCACCGGCUAACUACGUG
RNAcentral lists this ribosomal RNA (482 nucleotides) under uncultured bacterium. RNAcentral describes it as "partial 16S ribosomal RNA". It matches the Rfam family "Bacterial small subunit ribosomal RNA", at positions 30 to 507 of the family's 1533-position model. The record is from RNAcentral.